AGUGAACGCUGGCGGUAGGCCUAACACAUGCAAGUCGAACGGCAGCACAGUAAGAGCUUGCUCUUACGGGUGGCGAGUGGCGGACGGGUGAGGAAUACAUCGUAAUCUACUUUUUCGUGGGGGAUAACGUAGGUAAACUUACGCUAAUACCGCAUACGACCUACGGGUGAAAGCAGGGGAUCUUCGGACCUUGCGCGAUUGAAUUAGCCGAUGUCGGAUUAGCUAGUUGGCGGGGUAAAGGCCCACCAAGGCGACGAUCCGUAGCUGGUCUGAGAGGAUGAUCAGCCACACUGGAACUGAGGCACGGUCCAGACUACUACGGGAGGCAGCAGUGGGGAAUAUUGGACAAUGGGCGCAAGCCUGAUACAGCCAUACCGCGUGGGUGAAGAAGGCCUUCGGGUUGUAAAGCCCUUUUGUUGGGAAAGAAAAGCAGCAGGUUAAUACCACGCUGUUCUGACGGUACCCAAAGAAUAAGCACCGGCUAACUUCGUG
This 492-nucleotide ribosomal RNA is filed under the name uncultured bacterium. RNAcentral's name for it is "partial 16S ribosomal RNA". It matches the Rfam family "Bacterial small subunit ribosomal RNA", at positions 29 to 507 of the family's 1533-position model. The record is from RNAcentral.